UCUAUGCUAGAAUGAUAGGGUAGAAGUAAAAAGACGGUAGCUUUCUUUACGAAAGGAGUGGAUGCCUAUGAAAAUGGCACUAAAUUCUAACGGAAAGGAGGUCAAAAUUUGUCAGUGUAUCAGGCGCUUUCCUUAAUGUUGCUCUUUGCAAUGUUCAUUCUUGCGCUAC
This 169-nucleotide small RNA is filed under the name Lactococcus petauri. Its description in RNAcentral is "Listeria sRNA rli28". It matches the Rfam family "Listeria sRNA rli28". Lineage: Bacteria; Bacillati; Bacillota; Bacilli; Lactobacillales; Streptococcaceae. The record is from RNAcentral.